RNAcentral lists this ribosomal RNA (253 nucleotides) under uncultured prokaryote. Its description in RNAcentral is "partial 16S ribosomal RNA". It matches the Rfam family "Bacterial small subunit ribosomal RNA", at positions 525 to 777 of the family's 1533-position model. The record is from RNAcentral.
ACAGAGGUGGCAAGCGUUGUUCGGAAUUACUGGGCGUAAAGGGCGCGUAGGCGGUCGGGCAAGUCCUGUGUGAAAUCCCUCGGCUCAACUGAGGAACUGCACGGGAAACUGCUCGACUUGAGUUCGGGAGAGGGAAGCGGAAUUCCGGGUGUAGCGGUGAAAUGCGUAGAUAUCUGGAGGAACACCGGUGGCGAAGGCGGCAUCCUGGACCGGCAUUGACGCUGAGGCGCGAAAGCCAGGGGAGCAAACGGGA